UAUAAUUAAAAAUAUUAGAUUUAAAUAGUGAUAAGAGAAAUUAGAAAUUGAAGGCAGAUGGAUGUAUUGAUUUGGGUGUUUUGAAUCAUUCCAUAGGACACAAGGCUCAGUCCUCCUCUUUUCGGCAACAUUGGUCAUUGGAAUGUUUAAACAGAACGCAACUAUAUGAAUCAAAAUCCAUCAUAAUAAGAAGGAAAAGAAAAGGUAAAGUCCAUGGCCAACACUCUCUUCGCUGCCAUUGACAUGGGCACCAAUGCCUUCAAGCUUCUCAUAGUUCAAGCUCAUCUCCCAGGCAAAUUUAUCCCUCUUUUAACCGUCAGAGAGCAUGUCGUUUUAGGCCGCGAUUCACCUUCUUCCACCAUCUCCACCCAUUCCCAAAACCUCUCUGUCAAAUCUCUUCAGAAUUUCAAUAAGCUUAUUCAAACCCAUAAUGUUCCCCUACUCCACACUCGCUGCGUCGCCACAUCUGCUGUCCGCGAAGCCCAAAACAAGGCCAAAUUCAUUCACUCAAUCGCUGAAACUACCGGGUUCAAAGUUGAUGUUUUAUCAGGCGAAGAGGAAGCCCGAUUCUCUUAUCUUGGCGCUCUCCAAUUUUUUCCGGUUUUUGAGAAUUUGGUUUUGAACAUCGAUAUCGGAGGUGGGUCAACUGAGUUUGCUAUUGGGUUGCGUGGAAAGAUCGAAUUUUGUUUGUCUUUAAAGCUUGGCCACGUUACUUUGACUCAACAGAAUUUCGGGGAUGAAGAAGCUGAAAGAGCUUCGAAUAUGAGGGAGUAUAUUAGGAAUGUCAUUAAGGAAUCUGGGUUAAUUGACAAGGUUAAAAACAUUGGGUUUGAAAUAGCGUUGGGGUCAUCAGGGACGAUAAGAGCCAUUGAGAAAGCAGUUUUCAAAGGAUAUGCAUUAGAUUUUGCUGAUAACGAAGCUUUGCUUAGUGAAUGUAAAAGGGAUUGGAAGUUUAGUAUAGAGGAAUUAAAGAGUGUUGUUGAGAGGUUAUGUAAGGGAGGAGAAGGACAAAAAGUAAGGAGAGAUGGGUUUUUUAAGAGAAGAUCAGAGUCCAUUGUUGCUGGUGGGAUUUUGUUGGAUGAGAUAUUUGAUUUGCUUGGGAUUAAAGAAAUGUUGGUUUCUGGUUACGGAUUGAGAGAAGGUUUGAUAGCUGAUAGUUUAGCUAAGGUCUUUGAUGAUGGUUAUGAUUUGAAUGCCAACGCUCGGUUUCGGUCCAUUUUACGGCUUGCUACAAGGUUUAAUAGCAAAAGGAUAACCACUUCUGCUGCUGAAAUUGCUAGCAUUGCAAGGGAGAUUUUUGAAGGCUUAAGAAAAUACAAGGAGCUUGAUAACGAUGGAAUUUACCUUACUGUUGAUUUAGAUGAAAAAGAUCUGGAAAAUCUUGAGGCUGCAUGUUUACUUCACAAUAUAGGGCUCUCCACUGGGAAAAAGGGUUACCAUAAGAAGUCAUAUCACAUUAUCAUGAAUGGAAAUCAUCUCCGUGGUUAUAGUGCUGAGGAGGUCAAGUUAAUAGCUCUUCUUACAAGACACCAUAGGAAGAAAUUACCCAAGUUUAAUGAUGCUUCUUUUAAUGAGUUAAAAGAGGCAAAGCAGAAAUUCAAUGUUCUUUGUGCAAUUAUACGUUUAUCUUUUGUGUUACAUCGGAAUGGAUACAUAAACUACAGAGAAAUGGAUUUCUCACAUUCUCAUGAAGGUUUCAAGCUGGUUAUUGGGGAAGAAAGGGGUCCGAAUCAUCAGCCAGUUGUCGAGCAAUGUGUGACUGAUAAAUUUGCAGUAGAACUAACACAUGAAUUAGAUUAUUUUAAAAAGGUGUUGAAGCAAGAAUUAUCUGUUGAACUUAAAGCACCGCCAUUCUGUUCAAACGAAUAAUCAAAUGGAAGUUACUAAUUAAAGAGCUGCUGUUGGUUCAUGAUUGAGACCGAGUCCUAAAGCAGUUCAAAUCGGACUCUCUGAAAUGAAGAAUACACUUGCUAUGUUCUGAGAGUUCUCUGGCGAAUGGUGUGACCAACGGAGUGCUUAAGAACACAUAAAGCCUGGUGAAUGCAAAUGGUUCAGCAGUUAAUGCUCGUCUUUGUCUACUAGUUUGAAGAAAACCUGAGGAUGACGUCCGACAUCGAAACUAGCUUGGUCUCUGCUAUUGCUCUUAACAGUAAAGUAUCCCAUAAUGCGGACUUCAAGGAAUUAACUUGAACUGCUUCAGAACGAAAGUCUGUCUCUUUUGGUGCAGUAAGCUAGGAAAAUCUUGCUUAAUAUUCACCAUAUUAUAUAUUUUAGAGAUACACUAAUUUCUUUAUUUAAUAUAAUAAUGAUGAUGACUUUUUCAUCAGAAAGCUAAACUUAUCAUCCCAUACAUGAAUAUAUUCAUGUAUAUGUAUAUUACAUUAUUCAAAUAUUUUAUUUUUUUAACUGGACAUCAAUUUAGUUGGGUAUGACUAAAAUAGCAUUGUUUUUUUUUUUUUGGGUACAAAAAACAUUUUUUUUUUGGUACAAAAAACAAUCAUGUCUAGAGAGAACAUCCAUUAAACAGAAAAGAAAUUUUCCGUCUUGCUGCAGCAGAUGCCCACUUCCAAGUCUCAACCUAUUAUUAUCCCAGAGCUCCUAAAGGAUCAAAACUUUCAGUUUUCUAAUAGCCUCAACCCAAGGCCGAGACAUCCAAUGCCUUUUUGCAAUAGUUUCAGAAGUUUGCAGGAAGGCAGUCACUUUUUUGCUUCAAAACUACAUUAGAGCUGAGGAGAGUAUACGAUACCAUGCCCUUCCCUUUUAUCCAGGCAAUGUAAGCAGUUGGAAUAGCUUGCUGCAAAUGCACUAGAGAAGAUUGCACAGGUGUUUUGAGUCUUCUGGGGUCGUGUGACAGCAUGCUUUGAGAAGGCCUUUAGCCAUUGUUGUGUUAGACCAUUUGAUAAAUGAAAUGCUCGCAAUGGUGAGACAUCUGCACAUUCAAAGACCUUGUCCCUGUAUAUCCAAGUACUCCAGAGUGGCAAUAAGAUUAAUUCGGAGAUGAUCCUGCAGACUCUUGUACUAAAAGAUCUGCAAAAGCAAAUCAUACAUGUUUGUAGCAGCGUUUCAAUAAUUGAGCCUGACUCUGAAUUUUUUUUUUGGAUAAGUAAAAUUUCAUUCAUCCAAAGAAAGUAAAA
RNA transcript from Gossypium arboreum, 3134 nucleotides. RefSeq lists it as uncharacterized. The record is from RefSeq and is a predicted model, not a curated record. The transcript has 9 exons. Lineage: Eukaryota; Viridiplantae; Streptophyta; Magnoliopsida; Malvales; Malvaceae.